UCCCACGUUGCCCAACAGUGCACACACAGG
Molecule: non-coding RNA, 30 nt
Filed under: Mus musculus (house mouse)
Lineage: Eukaryota; Metazoa; Chordata; Mammalia; Rodentia; Muridae
Source: RNAcentral